RNAcentral lists this ribosomal RNA (498 nucleotides) under uncultured bacterium. RNAcentral's name for it is "bacterial SSU rRNA". It matches the Rfam family "Bacterial small subunit ribosomal RNA", at positions 25 to 518 of the family's 1533-position model. The record is from RNAcentral.
CAGGAUGAACGCUAGCGGCAGGCUUAACACAUGCAAGUCGAGGGGCAGCGCGAGUAGCAAUACUUGGCGGCGACCGGCGCAAGGGUGCGUAACGCGUGAGCAACAUGCCCGUAUCAGGGGGAUAAUCCAGGGAAACUUGGUCUAAUACCCCAUAGUAAUUUUGUAAGGCAUCUUAUAAGAUUUAAAGCUUUGGUGGAUACGGAUUGGCUCGCGUGACAUUAGCUGGAUGGUAAGGUAACGGCUUACCAUGGCUAUGAUGUCUAGGGGUUCUGAGAGGAAGGUCCCCCACACUGGAACUGAGACACGGUCCAGACUCCUACGGGAGGCAGCAGUGAGGAAUAUCGGACAAUGGAUGGAAAUCUGAUCCAGCCAUGCCGCGUGAAGGAAGAAGGUCCUAUGGAUUGUAAACUUCUUUUGUAUGGGAGCAAUAAGGCCUACGAGUAGGUUGAUGAGAGUACCAUACGAAUAAGCACCGGCUAACUCCGUGCCAGCCGCCGC